Molecule: ribosomal RNA, 141 nt
Filed under: uncultured bacterium
Lineage: Bacteria
Description: partial 16S rRNA
Rfam family: Bacterial small subunit ribosomal RNA
Source: RNAcentral
UGGGGAAUUUUCCGCAAUGGGCGAAAGCCUGACGGAGCAAUGCCGCGUGGAGGUGGAAGGCCUACGGGUCGUCAACUUCUUUUCUCGGAGAAGAAACAAUGACGGUAUCUGAGGAAUAAGCAUCGGCAAACUCUGUGCCAG